RNAcentral lists this ribosomal RNA (598 nucleotides) under uncultured bacterium. RNAcentral describes it as "bacterial SSU rRNA". It matches the Rfam family "Bacterial small subunit ribosomal RNA", at positions 338 to 944 of the family's 1533-position model. The record is from RNAcentral.
CCUACGGGAGGCAGCAGUAAGGAAUAUUGGUCAAUGGACGAAAGUCUGAACCAGCCAUGCCGCGUGAAGGAUGACGGCCCUCUGGGUUGUAAACUUCUUUUAUAGGGGACGAAAAAAGGGUAUUCUUACUCACUUGACGGUACCCUAGGAAUAAGCACCGGCUAACUCCGUGCCAGCAGCCGCGGUAAUACGGAGGGUGCAAGCGUUAUCCGGAUUCACUGGGUUUAAACGGGUGCGUAGGUGGGUCUAUAAGUCAGUGGUGAAAUCUCCGAGCUUAACUCGGAAACUGCCAUUGAUACUAUAGGCCUUGAAUUAUCUGGAGGUAAGCGGAAUAUGUCAUGUAGCGGUGAAAUGCUUAGAUAUGACAUAGAACACCAAUUGCGAAGGCAGCUUACUACGGAUAUAUUGACACUGAGGCACGAAAGCGUGGGGAUCAAACAGGAUUAGAUACCCUGGUAGUCCACGCCCUAAACUAUGGAUACUCGACAUCAGCGAUACACUGUUGGUGUCUGAGCGAAGCAUUAAGAUCCACCUGGAAGUACGACCGCAGUUGAACUUAAGGAUUGACGNGNGAGCGNGCGAGACGACGAGAGGAGAG